UCUGUCCGCGGGCGCAAUAUCUCUGCGAAUGAGGGUUAGCUGCUUUCGGAAGGUACAGUACACGGGAUAAAAAGGAAAGCUGCAAAAAAACGGGAGGGAAAUACUUUCGGUAUUGACUGAGAGGCUUUAUUAGCCGUUGAUGCAUGUCAGAAAACAAAUUUUAACAUGCCGGUCCCGUGUUUUGCAGCAAACGGAAAAACUGCUACGGACCUGAGGCUGCGAUAGGCAGAGGUAAUUGCCACCAUCUUUAUUAGGGGCAGUGAUCUUCGGGACUCAUGCCGGAUCGCCAUAUUUAUAGGUGGCAACCUGCAGUGGAACGCAAGCGCAGCCUUUCUUGCUUGGGAGGGGAGAUUAAGACAAGAGAAAUGUUUGUUUUUGUUUUUGUUUUUCUGGACUUCUUUCCCAGACUGUGAGACACGGCGUGUAUUUCCUGGGAAGGACCUUUGACGCUGGCGGAGUACUGGCUUCAGGCAGUAUAAAUUGCUGCAAGUUAUCCGUUAGAUAUUUAAUGGAGGAGAAAUGCCGAAAACGUGUUCAGAACUGCAUGUUCAAAAACAAAGUUGCUGGAAAAGCUCAGUAGGUUUGGUAGCAUCUGUGAAAGGAAAAAAAAUAACGUUUCGGAUCCGCUAAUCCUUGCUUAGAACUUCAUGUUACCUGUUGCACUCUCACUGUAGGAAGUCCUGCUUUAAAUAUUAUGAUCUAUUAAAGCAUAUCCGUUUGCCCAGUAUUCAUAUGAUUGGGAUCAAAUCACUGAAAGUGCUCUGAGUCCCCUUGUGCUCCCUCGUCAAAUUUAUUAAUGUCUGACUUCCUCAGUCUGUAAUAAUGGGUGUAUUUUACCUCUGCAUCUUUCUGUGUGGGGGAGCAGGGUGCUUUUAAGAGGAGGAUUUAUACAUAACUAACAGAAACCAAGAGAAAUGUUUGCCUUUUCCAGACAAUCUUGUGUUUUCUGGAUUUCUGUCCAGGCCUGACCGUUAUUUGUCUCUUGUGGAUUUGCUUUACAGGAUAUUUAUUGAGAAUAAUUUGCAAACCAGGAUCCCAAUGCAAGUUCUCCAUUAAGCGGAGUGAUCAGGAUCUGAGUAUCAUUGACACUUAACAGUGAAAGGAAAGAGGUUUAACCAUUCUAUGCAUGGGAGAAUACUCCUGGACUCUUUUAUACCCCCCACAGGACCUUUUGUGAUCUAAUCCCGUAACAGUGUGAGCUGCUACAAUGCACGUGCUAGUAAAAGCAUAAGAGGACAGAUGAGAUGAGUGCAUGGCUGGAGCUAUAACUUAAAAGGUUUGGAUUCCUGAGGCAUUGAGACUGUUUGUUUGUUUCUGGGGAAGGUGGGACAUGCACAAGCUUGAACAAUUGUCCAGGGCAGAGCUGGGACAGAUAUUCUUGUUGAUGCUUUUGCUAGUUCCACUGGUGAGGAUUUAAACUCGUAUGACAGGGGAAUGGGAACCAAAGUAUAGCUUUAGCAGUAAAAGACUCAAAUCAGCAAAUGGGAUUUGAAAUUAGUUCAUGAUGUUGUCGGUGGCUGAAAGAUUAAUAGAAAGAAGGAUUAAUCAAGAUCAAAUCUCUUUUCAUACAUCAGUCCUGUGAUCCCAGGAAUUGGUCUGGUGAACCUUCUUUACGAUCAUUCAGUAGCCAGGCCAUCCUUCCUCUGGAAAGGAGAACAAAGGUGCACACGACUCCAGGUGUGGUCUCACCAAGGCCCUUAUAGAAAGAUAUCCCUCUUCCUGUACUCGAAUCCUCUCACAAUGAAGGCCGAAAUAUCAUUUGCAUUCUUCACUACUUGCUGCUGCCUGUUUCCUAAAAGAGAAUAGGAGAGAAACACGGAACUAAAUGGGGUCAGACACUCGGGUAACAUUGUGUUCAACAAUGUCCCCAUUGUAGCGGUGCUGGCCAUCAAGCACCUAUUGAAGCUAGGCCCGUUUUCUGGCACUCGGUGUGUAACCUGUAUUUUGGUGCAGUGGAUGAUCAUCUCAACACUUCUUCAAGAUUGCAAUGGUUCCUGCAUCUAUCACCAUUUCAGAUGCUGCCAGAUCUGCUGAGUAUCUCUAUCAUUUUCUGUUUUUAUUUCAGAUUUCAGGUAUUUUUCUGCAUCUUAGUCCUUCAGAAGGAUCAGAGGGUAUGGAGAGAAAACAGGAAUUGGAUUCAUUUUCAGAUGAAUAAAAUGCCUGCCCUUCAUGUCUGUCCAAACUCUAUCUCUUUUUGUAGUUUUGGACAAACGCUGACUGUUUCCCUUCCCUGAAGGACAUUUAAUGAACCAGUUCAGUUUUACUGAUAAUCCAGCAGUGCCCCUCAGUGUUGCAUCCACAAUUGAUCAGAUUAAUUUCUGAGUUUGACAAUCUUUGUGUGUGUUCUUCUGGUUUCUCUCUCUCUCUCUCUACUUUUUUUUUUCUUCAGUUUGAAAUUGUGAUUGCAUUCAGAGAAAUCAAACAAAACCACAUCCAGAUCUGACACUCAAUCUGUUUGUCGUAACCUAAUUAUCUCAGGAUUUUGAACAUUAAAGGAAGAAGCACUGUUCACACCAGGGAGAAAUGCGUAUUGUCUGUGUGUCGAAGAUUCUGUGAAGAUUCAUCUGAAAUGCCCAAACACCAGCACGGUCACACUGGGGAGAGACUGUGGUAAUGUGGGGAUUGUGGGAAGGGAUUUAUUUACCCAUCCCAGCUGGAAAUGCACCAACGCAGUCACACUGGGGAGAAACUGUUCAUUUGCUCUGAUUGUGGGCUGGGAUUCACUCAGUCAAGCAACCUGCUGAAACACCAACGAGUUCACAGUGGGGACAGACUGUUCACAUGUUCCGAGUAUGGGAAGGGAUUUGCUCACUCAACCAACCUGCUGAGACACCAGCGAGUUCACUCUGGGGACAGACCAUUCACUUGUUCUAUGUGUGGAAAGGGAUUCACUCAAUCAUCCCAACUGUUAACACACCAGCAAGUUCACCACAACCACAUUUGAAGGAUUUUGCCCUUAAAUCAAGGAAUGAACUUUGAUCUUUGGGCUGUUUGUACUGGUGUCAUUAGUCCCUGCUCAAAACUUGAUCUUCUCUUGGGAAAUAAGGUAGGGCAGGUGACUGAGGGGUCAGCAGGGGGAACAAUAUUUUGGGGCCUAUGAUUAUAUCUCUAUUAGUUUUAAAAUAAUUAUGGAAAAGGAUAGACUUUGGUCGAAGAGUCAAAGUUUUAAAUGAGGCCAAUUUUGACACUACUAUGCUUCUUAAAAGCACAGUAAGACCGCCUAUGUGUGGGAAUGCACGAGAUGGGUGAGAUACAAAAAAGUAUUUUACAUCAGUAUUUACUGUGAUAAAGGAUACAAAAGCUAAAGAACUUAGAGAAAUGAAUGUGUAUCUUGAAAAGUUCCAUGUUGUAGAGGAGGUGGUGCUGGAUGCCAUACAGAGCAUAAAGGUGGAUAAAUCCCCAGGACCUCUUCAGGUGUAUUCUCGAACUUUGCGGGAAGCUAGGCUUGCGAUUGGGCCCCUUGCUCAGAUAUUUGCACCAUUGACAGUCAUAGGUGAGCUGUUACACUGGAGGUUGGCUAAUCUGGUGCCAUUGUUUAAGAAAGGUGGUAACAUAAAACCAGGGAACAAUAAAUUUUUAGUGAGCCUGAUGUCAGUUGUGGGUAAGUUGUUGGAGGGAAUUCUGAGGGAUAGGAUUUACAUAUAUUUGGAAAGCGUGGACUGAAUGGGGAAUAGUUGACAUGGCUUUGUCCAUAGGAAAUUAUGCCUUACUAACUUGAUUGAGUUUUUUUGAAGAAGUUAGAAACAAGAUUGAUGGCAGAGCGGUGGAUGUUUUCGAUAUUCCUCAUGGUCGACUGAUUAACAAGGUUAGAUCACAUGGAAUCCAGGGAGAGCUGGCCAUUUGGAAAGGCCUUUGACCUGCAGUAUGCUGCAAGGAUUGGUACUUAGUAACUAUAACUCCUACAUUCACAUCCAAAUCAUCUUUAUAAAUGACACACCACUGGUCACAGGCCUCCAGUCGACAAAGCAACCCUCCACCAGCACUCCGUCUUCUACCUUCAAGUCAGAUCUGUUUCCAAAUGACUGGUUCUCUCUGUAUUCCAUCUGAUCUGACCUUGCUAAUCAGUCUACUAUGAGGAACCUUGUCAAACGCCUUAGUGACAUCCAUAUAGAACACAUCCACCUCUUUGCGCUACUCAAUCCUCUUUGUUCCUCCAUCAAAAAAAAUCAAGUCAGUGAGACAUGAUUUCCCACACACACAGCCAUGUUGAUUAUCCCUAAUCAGUCCUUCCCUUUCCAAAUAUUUCAAGUACUAUCCCUCAGGAUUCCUAGAACGACUUUCCCACCACUAAUAUCAGGCUCACUGGCCUAUAGUUCCCUGGCUUUUCCUUACCACCUUUCUUAAAUAGUGGCACCACAUUAGCCAACUUCUGGUCCCUCACCUGUGACUAUCGAUGAUACAAAUAUCUCAGCAAGGGGCCCAGCAAUCACUUGCCUAGCUUCCCUCCGAGUUCUCGGAUACACCUGAUCAGGUCCCAGGAAUUUAUCCACUUUUAUACGUUUUAAGCAUCACUACCUCUGUAAUAUGGAUAAUUUUCAAGAUGUUGCUAUUUAUUUCCCCACAGUCCAUAUCUUCCAUAUCCUUUUCUGUAGUAAAUACUGAUGCAUAAUACUUGUUUUAUUAUAUUCCCCAUUUCUUGCAAUUCCACACAUAGGAGGCAUUGCUGCUUUUUAAGGGGCCCUAUCUCUCCAUCGUUAUCCUUUUUGUUCUUAAUCUAUUUGUAGAAUCCCACUGGAUUUUCCUUAAUACUAUUUGCCUAAGUUACCUCAUGUUCCCUUUUUGCCCUACUAAUUUCCCUCUUAAGUAUACUAUUGUCAUUAUACUCUUGUAAGCAUUCACUCGAUCUCUGCUGUCUAUACCUGACAUGUCCUUCCUCGUUUUUCUUGACCAAAACCUUGAUUUCUCUAGUCAUCCAGAAUUCCCUAUACCUACCAGCAUUGUCCUUCACCCGAACAGGAGUAUACUGUCCCUGAACUCUCGUUAUCUCUUUUUUUUGAAGGCUUCCCACUUUCUAACUUUCUGUUUUACCUGCGAACAUCUGCCCCAAUCAACUUUUGAAAGCUCUUGUGUAAUACCAUUAAAAUUGGCCUUCCUCCAAUAUAGAGCUUUAACUUUCAGAUCCGGUCUACUCUUUUCCAUCACUAUUUUAAAACUAAUAGAAUUAUGGUCACUGGCCCCAAAGUCCUCCCCUGCUGAUACCCUAGUCACCUGUCCUGCUUUAUUUGCCAACAGCAGGUCAAGUUUUGCACCUUCUGUAGUCGGUACAUCACAUACUGAAUCAGAACAUUUUCCUCUACACUCUCAGCAAACUCCGCUCCAUCCAAGCCUUUUAGACCAUGGAAUUCCCAGUCUGUUUGGAAAGUUAAAAUCCCUUCCAUCACCACCCUGUUAUUCUUCCAGAUAACUUCUUUCAAAAUUAUUUGUCAGAUUCCUGCUGACUAAUGGGGGUGGCUAUAGUAUAAUCCCAAUAAGGUGAUCAUCCCUUUCUUAUUUCUCAGUUCCACCCAAAUAACUUCCCUGGAUGUAUUCUCAGAUAUAUCCUGCCUAAGUAACGCCGUAAUGUUAUCCUUGCUCAAAAAUGCCACUUUUCCCUCCUCUCUUGCUUUGCUUCCCCCUCCCCCUUCGACUUUCUAUCCUUUCUAUAGGAACUAUAUCUUAGAACAUUAAGCUGGCAGCCCUGUCCACCUCUGAGCCUUGCCUCUGUAAUUGCAAUGAUAACCCAGUUUCAUGUUUCCAAUCUUGCCCUGAGUUCCUCUGCCUUAGCUGUUAGGCCUCUGGCAUUGAAAUAAAUGGCGUUUAAUUUAUUAGUCCUUUCGCAUUAAUCUCAAUAACAAAUACGUAACUGUAGAGUAGGUUUUGAAAAUGAUAACGUUUUAUUGCUGUAGAUCAACACAUUCACACUGGGUAAAGACAAUCCACCCGCAGUGUGUGAAAAGGGAUUCCCUAGUUCAUUAGGACGGGUUUUCAUAGAAUUCGGAGUAUUCCUACAGUAUGGAAACAGGCCCUUCGGCCCAAGAAUUCCACACAAAACCUCAGAGCAUCCCACCCAGACACAUCUCCCCGUAGCCCACCUAAUGUACGCAUCACUGAACACUCUGGGCAAUUUAGCUUGGCGAAUCCACUAACCAGCACGUGGGAGGAAACCAGAGCACCUAGAGGAAACCCACGCAGCCACAGGGAGAAUAUGCCAACAACCACACACUCGGUUGCCCAAGGGUGGAAUCAAAUCCAGGUCCCUGGCACUGUGAGGCAGCAGUGCUAACCGCUGAGCCACUGUGGUUAAACACCAAUGAGUUCCCAAGAAUCUGUAGGAAUUUUUGUUGCUCGUAUUAUCUGUAUUCAAGUCAUGUUAUCUGGGCUUGUUUCUCAUGAUGUUUGAAAACACCACAUGUCUGGUUACCUUGUUGGGAGAAAAAAUGAUAUAAAUUUUAUUAAAACUACUGUGCAUUGGAUCUUUAUCUCAAAAGCAGACUAAUUUAUUUUGAAAGGGGAGAUGGAGAGCCUAUCUCCUCUAUCCUCACCUCCAACAAGUGCGAGGAACCUGUGGUUUUUAUUUUUCACUCAAUGACAGUCAGUACAUUUCAUAUGAGCAACUGGGAACCGAGUCAUCCCAAAAUGCUUGAAACUUAGUGUACUAAUGGUACACUAUUACAAUAAUAACCAUUACAAUUCUUUUCUGAACCUUUUGAAGUUUUACAACAUCCGUCCUUCAGCAGGAAGAGUAGAAUUACACACAGCGGUUACACCUAAACUGGAAUGGGAACUGCAUCCUUGUGGGAGCUGGGGAUGGGUUUCCAGUACUGUUGGGGGUCAUGUAAAAAGUUUAGCAGUGGGCUGAAAUCCAGAGAAUGUUCAAAAAUAAUAAUGGCCAAAAAGAGAAGAAACAAGAGAGUCUGGAAGGCAUUGUCAUUGGGCAAUUAAGAUAUAAGCGAGUUUGCCACGGGUGAAUGGUAUUUAAUGCUUGGAGUCAGAUGAAUAAGGCAGAUGAUUUGAGGAUACAAAUUAGUGGGGUCAUAAAGCCAUUGCUGUCACUUGGACAUGGUUAGCAGCUCAGUAUUCCAGGAUACAGGGCCUUCAUGCAAGGCAGUGGAGGUGGUAAAGGAGGAGGAAAUAUUGUUAUUUUGCUUCGGGAAUCUAUAUAGCAAUAAGGACAGGUGACAUUUUUGAAAACCCCUUUAAAUAAAUAAGGAGACAGAUUUUGAGAAAGUGUAGAAGUAGCAGGAUUAUGGUAGCAGAGACUUUCAACUUCCUCAACAUUAAUGGAGUCGUCAUAAUGUGAAGGAUUUAUCAGAAUUUUUAAAAUACAUCCAGGAGAGCAUUUUUUCAGCCACUAAGUAGAAGUCCCAACAAGGAAGGGGAAGGCCCUGGACUUGACUUUAGGUUACAAAGUUGAGCAAGUGGUUGAAGUUUCAGUGGGAUAGCAUUUUGCAGGUAGUUAUUAUAACUAUUCGAUUCAGGAUUUGUAUGGAAAAGGACAAGGAUGGGUCUAAAGUCCUAAACUGAUGCUGAAGUUAUGAAGAAAGUAAAUGGAAUUUUGGCCUUAACUGCGAGGUGUUAGUGUUUUGAGGAUCGGGACAUCUUGUAACAACUGUAUUGGAUGUUGGUGAAGCAUAUUGGUUUAGCUACUCGUAUUUAAGAAAGGAUAUGCUGGCGUUGAAUGCGGUGCAAAAGAGAUUCGCUAAGCUGAUUCAUGGGAUGUAAGGGUCAUCAAGAAUAGCUGGAGGAAGGGAAUUUGCAAAGGGAAAAUACUAAAUAAACAGGUGGUGCCCAGUGUUGGGCUCAUACUCACAACUCUGCACUUAAACAGCGUAUGUUCCAACAACUGAGUUAACUUGGCCUUCCACAGUCAAUGUUCAAAUCCUGCUUUAUAAGGUGACAAAUGGGUUUUUCACUGACGCCGCUGCAGUCCAAGGAAGUAAAAGGUAACUGCUUUAGAAAAUCCCAAGGUUCCAAUGUAUUCUUCUCAUUCACAUUGCAAUCCAUUUUCAGUACUUGCUCCAGGAUUUAACAUUCAAAAUUAAUUUCGUGAUGUUGUUGCCCUCAUCUUUAAGUGCCCUGUAUAACUCCAGUCACUCGGUCGAAUGGUGAAAAAGUCUGUUUCAAUAAACCAAUUUUUUUCAGC
Long non-coding RNA from Stegostoma tigrinum, 8122 nucleotides. RefSeq lists it as uncharacterized. Lineage: Eukaryota; Metazoa; Chordata; Chondrichthyes; Orectolobiformes; Stegostomatidae. The record is from RefSeq and is a predicted model, not a curated record. The transcript has 2 exons.